GACGAACGCUGGCGGCGUGCUUAACACAUGCAAGUCGUACGGUAAGGCCCUUUAGGGGGUCCACGAGUGGCGAACGGGUGAGUAACACGUGAGUAACCUGCCCACAACUUUGGGAUAACGCUAGGAAACUGGUGCUAAUACUGGAUAUGUGCUCCUGCUGCAUGGUGGGGGUUGGAAAGCUCCGGCGGUUGUGGAUGGACGGGCGGCCUAUCAGCUUUUUGGUGGGAUAGUGGCCUACCAAGGCGGCGACGGGUAGCCGGCCUGAGAGGGUGACCGGCCACAGUGGGACUGAGAGACGGCCCAGACUCCUACGGGAGGCAGCAGUGGGGAAGAUGGCACAACGGGCGCAAGCCCGAGGCAGAAACGCCGCGGGCGGGAUGACGGCCUUCGGGUUGGAAACCGAUUUCAGCAGGGACGAAGCUUUUUGUGACGGUACCUGAAGAAGAAGCACCGGCUAACUACGUG
Molecule: ribosomal RNA, 465 nt
Filed under: uncultured bacterium
Lineage: Bacteria
Description: partial 16S ribosomal RNA
Rfam family: Bacterial small subunit ribosomal RNA
Source: RNAcentral